This 119-nucleotide ribosomal RNA is filed under the name Pteropus alecto (black flying fox). Lineage: Eukaryota; Metazoa; Chordata; Mammalia; Chiroptera; Pteropodidae. The record is from RNAcentral.
GUUUAUGGCCAUGCCACCCUGAACAAGCCCGAUCUCGUCGGAUCUCAGAAGCUAAGCAGGGUUGGGCCUUGUUAGUAUUUGGAUGGAAAACCACCUAGGAAGACCGGGUGCUGUAGGCA